AUGUAUACAUCACUGAUGACAUUCAGGAAGUUAUCUCCAAAAUUUGUCCUACAGAGUUUGGCUCAGCAAACCGUACAGCGAAAAGAGAGUAGAGAAGAACCUUUUAGGACAGAUACCCUAUUUUGUUGUGUUGAACAGCACCUAAUGCAGUUCGAUUACACUGUAUUUUCUGGGCCUUCUGGGUGCCAUGGUAAAGUAAAUAAUAAAUAAUAAUGAGUGUUUGACUAACAUUAGAAUUAGGAUCCAUGUAUUGUUUUCAUAUGUACAGCAUGAUAAUUUAUCAAUGCAUUAUUCAAGACUUUUUUGGUAACUUGAAUGGAGAUGUGUCAGCUUAUUCCUGCUGAUUUUUUUUUUUUUCCUGGCUUGGUUAGGUCCUGUGUAUUUGCCCUGGGACACAUGACCAAAAUCAUUUCACAGCUUUAGGAUAUGGACACUUGGCCACUGAAAGUUUUCUCCCCCAACACAUGGAUAUCUAGUUGCAAACAAGAACACUCUCUUUCUGGAUGAAGAAUCCUCUAAAAAUUGAUUCUAGCUCACUUGCCAGAGAUUGAAAAAAAAAAAAAAAAGAAAAGAAAGGUAAGCAAUGUGAAAAAAUCCAGAGUAC
This 604-nucleotide long non-coding RNA is filed under the name Anser brachyrhynchus (Pink-footed goose). RNAcentral's name for it is "lncRNA (ENSABRG00000021806.1)". Lineage: Eukaryota; Metazoa; Chordata; Aves; Anseriformes; Anatidae. The record is from RNAcentral.